RNAcentral lists this unclassified non-coding RNA (259 nucleotides) under Xylaria sp. RNAcentral describes it as "partial internal transcribed spacer region". The stretch from base 1 to 46 matches the Rfam family "Eukaryotic small subunit ribosomal RNA", at positions 1786 to 1831 of the family's 1831-position model. The record is from RNAcentral. Lineage: Eukaryota; Fungi; Ascomycota; Sordariomycetes; Xylariales; Xylariaceae.
AAGUCGUAACAAGGUCUCCGUUGGUGAACCAGCGGAGGGAUCAUUAUAGAGUUAUUACAACUCCAAACCCAUGUGAACAUACCUAUUGUUGCCUCGGCAGGUCGCAGACUGUUGGGAAAGGCCCCUACCCCUAGCGCGGGGGCCUACCCGGGAGCUGCGGUCAAAGCCUGCCGAUGGCCCGCAAAACUCUGUUUAGCAUUGAAAUUCUGAAUCGUAACUAAAUAAGUUAAAACUUUCAACAACGGAUCUCUUGGUUCUG